Molecule: long non-coding RNA, 399 nt
Filed under: Chrysemys picta bellii (western painted turtle)
Lineage: Eukaryota; Metazoa; Chordata; Testudines; Emydidae
Description: lncRNA (ENSCPBG00000018715.1)
Source: RNAcentral
AAUAUCUUAAACUUCCACUCAGAAACCAAGAGACAGCUACUGCAGAUCCCAGAGCCCUGCUGCUAUGUGCUCACAGCAGGUUGCACCGUUUAACAAGCAGGCUUCUGCAUUCUGCACUACCAUCCCUUUCUGAAUAAAUGUAAGCUGCGGCCCCAUGUAGAGCGCCUUUUUAAUUUAUUGAGCUUUACGGCCUUGCAGAGUCUUUUUGGACCAUGGUGCUUAGAGCAGCGAGAUGGACUAGAUGACCUCUCAAAGUCGCUUCCACUCCAACAUUUCUAUGAUGGCCAAAGUCCUCUUGCUUCUCAGAGGUUCCCUCUGACACGGCCCCUUGCUGCUGAGAGACUCCACACUGCUCCAUGCAUCCCGCCCUCAUUCUGGAAAGACCAGAACAAAGAGAUU